This 301-nucleotide ribosomal RNA is filed under the name uncultured bacterium. RNAcentral describes it as "partial 16S ribosomal RNA". It matches the Rfam family "Bacterial small subunit ribosomal RNA", at positions 509 to 807 of the family's 1533-position model. The record is from RNAcentral.
CAGUCGCCACGGUAAUACGUAGGUGGCAAGCGUUGUCCGGAAUUAUUGGGCGUAAAGGGCUCGCAGGCGGUUUCUUAAGUCUGAUGUGAAAGCCCCCGGCUCAACCGGGGAGGGUCAUUGGAAACUGGGAAACUUGAGUGCAGAAGAGGAGAGUGGAAUUCCACGUGUAGCGGUGAAAUGCGUAGAGAUGUGGAGGAACACCAGUGGCGAAGGCGACUCUCUAGUCUGUAACUGACGCUGAGGAGCGAAAGCGUGGGGAGCGAACAGGAUUAGAUACCCCCGUAGUCCCUGUCUCUUAUAC